GCCUUGGAGAAGCUCGCCGGAACCUCUUCCGGGUGGGUCUGCUUGCGCAGGCGCAGUUUCACCCGGGGUCGGGCUGGCCCUGGAAAUGGGGGUUGCGUUAGGUGAGCUGUGGGGGGUGGGGCGUGAGGGGGGGCGGGUCGGUGUUUGGGGGUGUGAGCUGCUGGGUCCGAGGGAACGUGGGAGGGGAGAGGAGCCGGGGCGGAGCCUGGCUGGGCGGGGCUCCCUUUUCCUGCCCCGCGGGGAGCAGAGCUCAGUCCUUGUUCUGUGCUUGCAGGUCCCAGGCCAGCCUCCUGCCUGGGAAGAACAGGGAAAGACCUCUGCCCUUCUGGGAUCCUUCUCCCUCUCCAGCUCAGCCUGCAGAGGACCAAGACCCGUCCCAGCAGGGAGCCUGGAGCCAGAGGGAAUGGCCCCUGGGAGCCUCAGACCCCAAGCCCAGGUAAGUGCAGUCCAUCCUUUAUCAACAUUUAAGGCCAUUUCCAUAGAAAUAGAGGAUUGUCUGUGUAGCUGGCAAUACCUCACUUAUGGAUCAUUUCUUUACAAAAAUAAGUAUGAAAUUGAAUACAGUAGUAAUAAUACUGUCCUGCUCUCUUGUUUUGGAUUGAUUCAUUUGCACUUUGGCAUCUCCAGCACUCCCUCCCUCCUAUCCAAAUUGCUGCCCUCCCUUUGUUGUUUUUUCAAGUUCUUACUCAUUGCAACUGAUUUGACAUGGAUGUCCACUUGACUUAUGAGUCUCUAUUCCAUAGACUCUGUGUCUUUGCUUGCUUUGUGUAUGCCUCCUCUCAUCUGCCUCACCCCCCACACUCUUCUCCCCCUUCCUCUUUGUUUCUUGUGGCCAAGCUCUGUUAUGCACCAGCUGCUGGUCCAGGAAGCCCCUCACCAGCAGUCUUAUCUGAACACGCCAGAAGCAGAGCCCUGAAGGCUUUCCUAACUGUUCACACACACACACACACACACACACACACAUGCACACAUACACACCCAAAGGUUCCGCAGCUGUUGUAAUUGCAAUGUUGUGUCAGGGCUGAUAUUGUCCUGGUCCUGCUCAUUUCUUUCUUCCCAGGUCCCUUUGAAUCCCUCUCCAUUACCAUUUUUUAGGUCCAGUCAUUUUGUAAGUGAAGGCUCUGUGUGGAAACAUUGGUCGUCCUCUCUCAUGCUCAAAAUGCCUUCAGUAUGUCAGGGUCAAGGUAUGGUGUACCCAGCUGUGGCUGAUCAGAUCAGCAUGAGCUCACAAGACUCUACCACAGGUUGGACAGAAAUAGUUUGUGUGAACAUUUGGGAUGGCUUCUCUGAAUUUGUGCAUCUUCAGUUUCUUUUGAGCUACUUCAGUUUUGCUUUGCUCAUAGAGCAGAGCACCUUCUCUGAUGAGGGCACACCAUGCUGGGUGGUUCUGUGCCAGGGUCUCCCAUGUCUCACAAUUAUUUCCAGAGUUCUUCAGAGAAAUCUUGAGAGUAUCCUUGUAUCGCUUCGUCUGACCCCGAUGUGAAAGCUUGCCUUGUGUGAGUUCUCUGUAAAAUAGUCUUUAGGCAAGCAUACAUUUGGCAUUCAGGCAUAUCACUAGCCCAGUUGCACUCUUUGCAGUAGAGUUUGAAUGCUUGGCAGCUUAGCUUGAGAAAGGACCUCAGUGUCUGGUAUCUUAUCCUGCCAGGUGAUCUUCAGACUCUUCCUAAGACAAUUCAAAUGGAAGCAGUUCAGGUUCCUGGCAUGGCGCUGGUAUGCUGUCCAGCUUUCACAGGCAUACAACAAUGAGGUCAGCACAAGGGCUCUGUAGACCUGCAGUUUGGUAGUCAGUCUAAUACCUCUUCUCUCCCACACUUUCAUUGAGAGUCUUCCAAACACUGAGCUAGCUCUGGCAGUGUGUGUGUUAACCUCAUCAUCUAUGGCCAUCCCCGGAAAGUACACCACCAGGUAAGUGAACUGAUCCCCAGUGUUCGGCGUUUCUCCGUUUGCUGUGACCUACUGGAGAUGCAAAGGAAGGAAGAACCAGUUCCUGCCCUCCAGGAGCUCCUACCUGAAUGGGGGCAACAUCCUGUCAGCAUCUGUGUCCAAAGUUCUGUACAAUACAGAAAGGAAGUACGCUGGGAGAGAAGACUCUAGCUGUUUUAGGGAUCAGGAAAAUCCUUUUUUUAGAAAGUGAGUUUAUCUGAGACUUGAAUGAAGCCAGGAGGCCCAUGUGACAAGGAAGAACAUUGCAAAAAUGAGAGAUAGCCUUUGGAAAGGCACCCAGGAGAUGGAGCCCACUGUCCCUGCAUCAAUUGCUGUCCUUUGUACUUGAAGAGGACCAAAAUGACUUCCCUGUGCUGGGACCGACGUACAGUGUGUCCGACUGUGGCUGAUCAAACCAAGAUGAGCCUGGAAGAUGCUCAGAGGUGGGGCCCAGAUAGUCCAUAUGGACAUUUGGCUCUGCUUUGCCCAUGGAGCACAGUGCCUUCUUUGAUGUGGGCAUACCGCAUUGGACGGCCAUUUGCCACUGUCUCCCAUAUCUCAUAAUUGAAUACAGAGUUCUUCAAAGAGACCUGGAGAAUAUCCUCGUGUCUCUUCUUUUGACUUCCCUGUGAGCACCUGCCUUGUGUGAAUCCACAGUAUAAGAGUAUUUUAGGCAAACGUAUGUUUUGCAUUUGAACAAUGUAGUUGGCCUGUUGGAGAUAUGAUCUCUGUAGUAGAGUUUGAAAGCUGGUCAGUUCAGUUCAGGAAAGGACCUCAGCAUCUGGCAUCUUAUCCUGCCAGGUGAUCUUCAGAAUCUUCCUAACACAAUUCAGAUGGAAGCCAUUCAGUUUCCAUCAUGGCACUGGUAGACCGUCCAGGUUUUACAGGCAUACAACGAUGAAGUCAGCACAAUGGCUCUGUAGACCUUCAGUUUGGUAGUCACUCUAAUACCUCUUCCCUCUCAUGCUUUCCUUGGGAGACUCCGUCACACUGAACUAGUUCUGGCAGUGUGUGUCAUCUCUUCAUCUAUGUGUACAUCCCUGCAAAGCAUGCUGCCAAGGUAAGUGGAGGAAUAUUUGGUGCACGACUCUGUUCACAGGUGACGGUGCCCUCAGUGCAGCCUCUGAGGCUGAGAUGCAACAGAGUAUGGAUCGAUUCUGUGUGGCCUGUAACACCAAGAAAACAGAGGUUCUCCACAGCCAGCCCCACACCCUCCACAUGUGGAACUGUUGGUUCCAGUAAAUGGAGACAUGUGGAAUGCUGUGGGUCAGUUCACUUCCCUCAGUAGUCAUUGUGGCAGUGAGGCUGGAAAGCCAGGCUGGGCUGGUUAUGUGGCACCGACUGUACGCUGGGCGCCUCAUCAGUAACAUCUCAUUGGAUCUUGUUGCAGGAGUGAUCAGGGUCCUUUCUUGCGACGGCCUGAAUGAGGCAGUGCAGAGUGCAGCCAGCAGCUCCAUUACAGCGUUCCUAUCCACUCAAAAGGUGACUCACCCUAUCAGUAGAGACUGGACACCAAUGUCCUUCAUUUGCACAGGUGUCAUAUUCUGUCCUCCCGAGUUACCUGAAACCUAGCGAGAGUCAAAAGCAGUUGGGGUAAGAUCAGGUUUGGCCUUUAUGUGGAAAUACUUACAGAAUAGAUGAUUUUUUUUUAAAAAAAAUUAGAUGCUUGAAGCCUUAAAGGGCCUUUAACAUAGCUAUUUUUACUAGGCUGAGAAAACUCUUAUCUUCUUUAUCAGUCAUUUAGUUAAUUAGCAUGUGUUAAGCACCUUGCUUUAUUAGCUAGGAUAGAGGGAAAGGGGCAAGUUAAUGCAGAAAUAUUCCAAGACCUGCUGGUUUUCUUUUCUAAUUUGGAGAAGGGAAGUACUGAAGGAGACAUUCUAUUCUUGUCAAAAAGGCGUCAGGCUCAAAUGGAAUGUGGGUCACAACAUUUCCAGUCAGCAACCAAGGGCAACUGAGGCAUGAGCAAUCAGCGACUUAUUUAGGGAGCCAUCCAGAUCCAAGACCUUCCUUGUGAUUGUGGGUGCCUGCUGCUUGAGCGGCAUCAUCGAUACAGGGGGAGAGCAUAUGAAAAAUUGCAGGAGGCAGUGCUAGUUCACAAUCGGUUAACCCCAGAAGAGGGGAAAAUGCUGUGGUUGGCUGAGAGACAUGCACAUUAAUCAUAAUCACUUUGUGCUGAUAAAACCCAAGUCAUGCGUUCUACGUCAUUAGCUGCAGGUUUUCCUCAGAAAAGGCCUUCCCCCUUCUGCCUCAGCAGAGGUUUUCCUAGGAAGUCAAACAUCUGGUGUUUUGGUCAGCAAUGAUCCAGCUGUGAAGGAAGCAAUGGGUGAGAGGAAAGGUCAGCAGGGAGCAGUGAAAAUGCUUCCUAUGGGUGACGGGUGCAGAUGCAUCAACGGCGAGCAUCAGGGUUAAAUGUAGUGUGCUCUUCUGUAACAGACAGUUAUAUGAUUUUAUCCUGUAAUCUGCAAUGAGCUGAUUUCUACAUCAUAAAAUUCACUGGUACAUAAGAGGCUAUUUGGUCUUUACAUAUAUAUAUAUAUGUAUAUAUAAAAAAAGUCAUCCAUACUUAACUAACAUAAACUUAAUCCUAUUCUGCUAACCCACUAGUAGAGGUUGUGCAGGCCUAUUUUACAUUCUCUACAUUUUUUGCAGGCCACUGCAAAUCUUUUGGCAGACACAAGCAGCCUUAUGUUGUGCAAGCCUUUCCUAAGGCAGCUUCAUGUAGUUUUGCUGAGGGAUUUGCAUUUUUGCAGGCUGCCCGAAAUCCUUUGGCAGGCCACUAGUGGUGUGUGAUGUUGUGCGGACCUGGUCUAGACAUAAGGAAGUGAUGUUCAUGGUGAACAUAAAACAAAAGUGUGAUAUGCUUACAUUUCCCCCCCCGGAAGCCAGAUAUGAAACAUGUACUAGCAUUCCACUGUCUGGCUUCUUCCUCUUGUAGCUGAUCGCCACUUUUGGUUUCUCUACUAUAGGCAUCCCACCAGAGCCCCUUCACCCAUCAUAUGAGGACAUCAAGAAAGCCAUCCAUCCCUUGUGAUUACUUGACCGGCACAUGUUAUUGAUUCCUUAAUAGGGAUUUUGUUUCUGUAAAGUGCCCAGAAAAGAGAAUCUAGCACAGAGGAUUGUUUUGGUUGUGAGGGAGAUUCUAGGACAGGGUCAAGUUGUGUGCCCUUGUGGUUAAUGGCACGCACAUGAGGCACCUUGAGGUGAAGCAAUAAUAGGAUGGCUUAGCUGGCAAUGCAUAAUACAGCAAUGCCAUCAUAAUGGCAAUAAAUAAUAUGCAUGAUGCA
Molecule: long non-coding RNA, 5207 nt
Filed under: Phascolarctos cinereus (koala)
Lineage: Eukaryota; Metazoa; Chordata; Mammalia; Diprotodontia; Phascolarctidae
Description: lncRNA (ENSPCIG00000030185.2)
Source: RNAcentral